This is a non-coding RNA of Oryza punctata, 197 nucleotides long. Lineage: Eukaryota; Viridiplantae; Streptophyta; Magnoliopsida; Poales; Poaceae. The record is from Rfam.
AAUAAGUGCAGUUUUGCACUGUUCAUAUCGAACGUUUGACCGUCGGUUUUAGUUGAAAAUUUUUUAUGAUUAGUAUUUUUGUUGUUAUUAGAUGAUAAAACAUGAAUAGUACUUUAUGUGUGACUAAAUUUUUUAAAUUUUUUCAAAUAAGACGGACGGUCAAAUGUGGGACACGCAUAUCCACGGCUGCGCUUAUU